CGGGCUUCGGCCUGGCGGCGAGUGGCGAACGGGUGAGUAAUAUAUCGGAACGUACCCAAGAGUGGGGGAUAACGUAGCGAAAGUUACGCUUAUACCGCAUACGAUCUAAGGAUGAAAGCAGGGGACCGCAAGGCCUUGUGCUCCUGGAGCGGCCGAUAUCUGAUUAGCUAGUUGGUGAGGUAAAGGCUCACCAAGGCAACGAUCAGUAGCUGGUCUGAGAGGACGACCAGCCACACUGGAACUGAGACACGGUCCAGACUCCUACGGGAGGCAGCAGUGGGGAAUUUUGGACAAUGGGGGCAACCCUGAUCCAGCAAUGCCGCGUGAGUGAAGAAGGCCUUCGGGUUGUAAAGCUCUUUUGUCAGGGAAGAAAAGGCUGUGGCUAAUAUCCAUAGCUGCUGACGGUACCUGAAGAAUAAGCACCGGCUAACUACGUGCCAGCAGCCGCGGUAAUACGUAGGGUGCAAGCGUUAAUCGGAAUUACUGGGCGUAAAGCGUGCGCAGGCGGUUUCGUAAGUCUGUCGUGAAAUCCCCGGGCUUAACCUGGGAAUGGCGAUGGAGACUGCGAGGCUAGAGUUUGGCAGAGGGGGGUAGAAUUCCACGUGUAGCAGUGAAAUGCGUAGAGAUGUGGAGGGACACCGAUGGCGAAGGCAGCCCCCUGGGUCAAAACUGACGCUCAUGCACGAAAGCGUGGGGAGCAAACAGGAUUAGAUACCCUGGUAGUCCACGCCCUAAACGAUGUCUACUAGUUGUUGGGUCUUAAUUGACUUAGUAACGCAGCUAACGCGUGAAGUAGACCGCCUGGGGAGUACGGUCGC
This 818-nucleotide ribosomal RNA is filed under the name uncultured Duganella sp. RNAcentral's name for it is "bacterial SSU rRNA". It matches the Rfam family "Bacterial small subunit ribosomal RNA", at positions 74 to 889 of the family's 1533-position model. The record is from RNAcentral. Lineage: Bacteria; Pseudomonadati; Pseudomonadota; Betaproteobacteria; Burkholderiales; Oxalobacteraceae.